CUCACCUAUAACAAUGGCCUAUACAUGGUAUGAAGUAAGGAAUUAAAACUUCAAAAGAAAAAUAUAUUUUUAGUAGAUCUCUACCAAAAAAAUGUUUGGCCGCCAUUGGUUGUAUCGAUUUUCCCAGUAUUCCUAUGUUUUUUCCGGUUUUCUCAUGUUUUAUCCCGGUUUUUUACAUUUGCUGGGAAAACUUUUAGGAAAAUCGAUAUUUAUCUAUUUUAUAUAUUUUUUUUAAAACUAUAACUACAAAAAUAAUUUUUAUAAAAUCUUAGAUAGCUGUUUUAUAAAUAUAUUUUGAAAUAAAACUAUAGUGUUAAAAA
This is a non-coding RNA of Cinara cedri, 320 nucleotides long. Lineage: Eukaryota; Metazoa; Arthropoda; Insecta; Hemiptera; Aphididae. The record is from the annotation of a GenBank genome assembly.